GAUGAACGCUGACGGCGUGCCUAAUACAUGCGAGUCGAGCGAACGGACGAGAAGCUUGCUUCUCUGAUGUUAGCGGCGGACGGGUGAGUAACACGUGGAUAACCUACCUAUAAGACUGGGAUAACUUCGGGAAACCGGAGCUAAUACCGGAUAAUAUUUUGAACCGCAUGGUUCAAAAGUGAAAGACGGUCUUGCUGUCACUUAUAGGUGGAUCCGCGCUGCAUUAGCUAGUUGGUAAGGUAACGGCUUACCAAGGCAACGAUGCAUAGCCGACCUGAGAGGGUGAUCGGCCACACUGGAACUGAGACACGGUCCAGACUCCUACGGGAGGCAGCAGUAGGGAAUCUUCCGCAAUGGGCGAAAGCCUGACGGAGCAACGCCGCGUGAGUGAUGAAGGUCUUCGGAUCGUAAAACUCUGUUAUUAGGGAAGAACAUAUGUGUAAGUAACUGUGCACAUCUUGACGGUACCUAAUCAGAAAGCCACGGCUAACUACGUG
This 497-nucleotide ribosomal RNA is filed under the name uncultured bacterium. Its description in RNAcentral is "partial 16S ribosomal RNA". It matches the Rfam family "Bacterial small subunit ribosomal RNA", at positions 28 to 507 of the family's 1533-position model. The record is from RNAcentral.